UGGGGAAUAUUGCACAAUGGGCGCAAGCCUGAUGCAGCCAUGCCGCGUGUAUGAAGAAGGCCUUCGGGUUGUAAAGUACUUUCAGCGAGGAUGAAGGCGUUGUGGUUAAUAACCGCAGCGAUUGACGUUACUCGCAGAAGACGCACCGGCUAACUCCGUGCCAGCAGCCGCGGUAAUACGGAGGGUGCAAGCGUUAAUCGGAAUUACUGGGUGUAAAGCGCACGCAGGCGGUCUGUCAAGUCGGAUGUGAAAUCCCCGGGCUCAACCUGGGAACUGCAUCCGAAACUGGCAGGCUAGAGUCUUGUAGAGGGGGGUAGAAUUCCAGGUGUAGCGGUGAAAUGCGUAGAGAUCUGGAGGAAUACCGGUGGCGAAGGCGGCCCCCUGGACAAAGACUGACGCUCAGGUGCGAAAGCGUGGGGAGCAAACA
This 427-nucleotide ribosomal RNA is filed under the name uncultured bacterium. Its description in RNAcentral is "partial 16S ribosomal RNA". It matches the Rfam family "Bacterial small subunit ribosomal RNA", at positions 355 to 774 of the family's 1533-position model. The record is from RNAcentral.